UGUGCAGCAGGGUCAACAACAGUAUCUUCAGUCCCUGGAAAGCAUUUUCUUGUUGAAUUUUUGUAUUCCUGGCAAUCACCACUGCUAACCUUCUCCUAAACAUGGCUUACUGGCACAGGUUGCCCAGAGAAGCUAUGGAUAUUCCAUCCCUGGAGGGAAUCAAGGAGGGGGCCCUGAGCAGCCUGAUCUAGUGAGUGGCAACCCUGACCAUGGUAGGGAGGUGGAAAGGGAUGGACUUUAAGGUCCCUAAACCAUUGUGUGAGUCUGUGAUUUUAUGUGUGACCUCACAGGGACCUCACCUCAGCAAGCAGGCUGUCACUCACUCUCCGUUUCCUUUCUGUAAACUCUCUUCAGCAUUUCUUCUGCAGUAAACAGGAUGACUUCCCUAAUGGCACUGUGGCUCCUGUAGGAUCCACUCCACUAAAUAACCAGGCUGAAAUACUGCAACAUUGCCUUCAUUCUCCCUGGGUGCCCAGAAUGCUUCUCUGCUAGUAGUAACUGCAACAUAACCAAGCUGCUCAACUCAGGAAAUGUGCCACCUGGAAAACACAGUGACUGGCAUGCCUUAGUGCUUUCCAUCCAUUUCAGCGAGUUUCUCUUCAUGCCAUUUUAAUGAAAUGCUGCGGACAACAGGGAGAGAUGACUGCCUGGGCAAGCACAGGAAAGUGUGAUAAGCAGUCAGUUUGGAUCACGACUACUCUAAGGAUGUGGUGGAACUUCACCGCUGGCUGCAGCUACUCUGGCAGCGGGCGCUGGUCCAGGCCGGGCCUUUGGUGCGGCCGGGCACAGUGCCACGGGUGGGGCAGCCUGCCACUCCUUGAGCCCAGCAAACUGCUCCUUGAGCCCAGCAAACUGCUCCUUGAGCCCAGCCUGCCACUCCUUGAGGCCGGCAUGCCGCUCCUUGGGCCCAGCUUGCCACUUCCUGGGCCUGCUGCCCGCUGGGCUGUGCUGGGCCAUGCUGGCUGUGCGAGGCUGCUUACACCAUGUGAACAGUUACUCUUAAUGGGGCUGUGCUCCUUGCCUCCUCGGUUCAGGUCUGGUUGGUCCUUUACUUUGGUGGAGCUGGAAUGAGGAAGAGCUGAGACCUUUAGGGCUUUCCUGAAGUUUUCAGAUGCCAGACACAUAUCUCACUGAUGGCAGUAGAAGACUUGCAGCAGAGCUGUCUGGACCACUGGAACUGUUUCUGCCCCUGGUCCUCAUGCACCGGGCAAAAGUGAGGUUCAGUACAGUAGGGUUCACUCUGGUUGCUGUAUUUACUGCCAGCACUUUAACUGAAACAGCGGAUUAUUUGGGAACUGGGGCCAAAGUCUUU
This 1312-nucleotide long non-coding RNA is filed under the name Coturnix japonica (Japanese quail). Its description in RNAcentral is "lncRNA (ENSCJPG00005009651.1)". Lineage: Eukaryota; Metazoa; Chordata; Aves; Galliformes; Phasianidae. The record is from RNAcentral.